This 76-nucleotide transfer RNA is filed under the name Candidatus Bathyarchaeota archaeon. Its description in RNAcentral is "tRNA-Val". It matches the Rfam family "tRNA". Rfam says of the family: Transfer RNA (tRNA) molecules are approximately 80 nucleotides in length. Their secondary structure includes four short double-helical elements and three loops (D, anti-codon, and T loops). Further hydrogen bonds mediate the characteristic L-shaped molecular structure. tRNAs have two regions of fundamental functional importance: the anti-codon, which is responsible for specific mRNA codon recognition, and the 3' end, to which the tRNAs corresponding amino acid is attached (by aminoacyl-tRNA synthetases). tRNAs cope with the degeneracy of the genetic code in two manners: having more than one tRNA (with a specific anti-codon) for a particular amino acid; and 'wobble' base-pairing, i.e. permitting non-standard base-pairing at the 3rd anti-codon position. The record is from RNAcentral. Lineage: Archaea; Thermoproteati; Candidatus Bathyarchaeota.
GGGCCCGUAGUCUAGUUUGGACAGGACGCUGAGCAACACGAGCCGGAGAUCCGGGGUUCAAAUCCCCGCGGGCCCG